GGGGAGUAUGCAAAAUCCUCCCUGAGACUAUGACAUGCUGCACAUACAUUCCAGACAACACUGGGCCCAAUGGUAAGGUGACAAUGGCCAUAGAGAAGCUAGAUAGUCUUUCAAACGAGCUAAAGAAGAAUUCAGGAGUCAUUGACACGUGGGACAGAUGGUUUGGGUGGAUGAAUGGUUGGCAAAGGACCCUCUUCCAGGUAGGAACAGCUGUUCUUAUAAUGAUCAUCAUCUUCUUAUUUUUAACCUGUUGCAUACUCCCUUGCAUACAGAAGUACUUACAGAAAGCGGUAGAUAAGACUAUAGAUGACGUGACCCCUACUUUCCUACAUCAAGAUAUCACAGACCUCGAAGAU
Non-coding RNA from Pelobates cultripes (western spadefoot toad), 356 nucleotides. NCBI's taxonomy places the organism in Eukaryota, Metazoa, Chordata, Amphibia, Anura, Pelobatidae. The record is from the annotation of a GenBank genome assembly.